AUGCAGCGACGCAGCGUGCGGGAUGACGGCCUUCGGGUUGUAAACCGCUUUCAGCAGGGAAGAAGCGAAAGUGACGGUACCUGCAGAAGAAGUACCGGCUAACUACGUGCCAGCAGCCGCGGUAAUACGUAGGGUACGAGCGUUGUCCGGAAUUAUUGGGCGUAAAGAGCUCGUAGGUGGUUGGUCACGUCUGCUGUGGAAACGCAACGCUUAACGUUGCGCGUGCAGUGGGUACGGGCUGACUAGAGUGCAGUAGGGGAGUCUGGAAUUCCUGGUGUAGCGGUGAAAUGCGCAGAUAUCAGGAGGAACACCGGUGGCGAAGGCGGGACUCUGGGCUGUAACUGACACUGAGGAGCGAAAGCAUGGGGAGCGAACAGGAUUAGAUACCCUGGUAGUCCAUGCCGUAAACGUUGGGCACUAGGUGUGGGGGACAUUCCACGUUCUCCGCGCCGUAGCUAACGCAUUAAGUGCCCCGCCUGGGGAGUACGGUCGCAAGGCUAAAACUCAAAGGAAUUGACGGGGGCCCGCACAAGCGGCGGAGCAUGCGGAUUAAUUCGAUGCAACGCGAAGAACCUUACCAAGGCUUGACAUACACUGGACCGUUCUGGAAACAGUUCUUCUCUUUGGAGCUGGUGUACAGGUGGUGCAUGGUUGUCGUCAGCUCGUGUCGUGAGAUGUUGGGUUAAGUCCCGCAACGAGCGCAACCCUCGUUCUAUGUUGCCAGCACGUG
Molecule: ribosomal RNA, 730 nt
Filed under: Brevibacterium sp. SL2-1-1
Lineage: Bacteria; Bacillati; Actinomycetota; Actinomycetes; Micrococcales; Brevibacteriaceae
Description: bacterial SSU rRNA
Rfam family: Bacterial small subunit ribosomal RNA
Source: RNAcentral